This is a non-coding RNA of Triticum urartu, 798 nucleotides long. NCBI's taxonomy places the organism in Eukaryota, Viridiplantae, Streptophyta, Magnoliopsida, Poales, Poaceae. The record is from RefSeq and is a predicted model, not a curated record.
CCUCCUCCUCCAGGAGGACGCGCCGCCGCCCCUGUUCUUCCUUCCUCCUGUCGGCAUGCGCGCCGCCACCCCUCUGGCCGUCGCUGGCAUCCCGUUCGAGCCCGUGGAUCCGAGGAAGAUGGAGACGAUGGAUGAUGGGAAGGACCAGCGGCUGCCUAGUGGUGACCUCGUGGAAGCAGACGGUCGACAAAGACCAUCAUCGAGGCUGCUACUGGUAUGUGUUGUGCAAUCUUCAGAGAUGAAAAAAAGAUACUAGUACAGAGAGGAGGGAGGAUUGCAAUUCAGACAGAUUGGCUGGAGUUCAGCAGAAGGAUUCACAUCAGUGCAAAUCUCCGGUGGGAGUAAGUUCAGAGGGGGAAAAUGCAUCUGGCCCAACCGCCUCGACCUCAACAAGCCCCAUCAAGAUUCGGCACCGUGGGCUGCACCCCCUCUCUUCCUUCGAAACUAGGAGUUGUGGAGGAGCAUUGAUUGGUUGUCUACUCGGAAAGAAAAGAAGAUGAAGUAUGUGACCAUCGUAGCAACUGUUGAAGAGACGUUGUGCGGCUGGUUGUGGAUGAGAAUUGUCUAGCCGGCAAUGGAUUUCCAGCAAGGGCGGCAGAGAAAAAUCCAUGACGAGAUGAACACCACCACGACAACAUCAUGGAUGUGAUCAAGCAGCCGUAUGCGCACUGCUUGUGCUGGGCGCCGAUCUGGAGGCCCCUGAUCGGAAGGGACGCCACUGGAGCUGCUGCGGGAGAUGGUAGCGAAUACUGAUGUGGACAUUCAAGCUGCAAUAGAGGAGCUGCAUGUGCUGCUAUA